This 371-nucleotide ribosomal RNA is filed under the name uncultured bacterium. RNAcentral describes it as "bacterial SSU rRNA". It matches the Rfam family "Bacterial small subunit ribosomal RNA", at positions 527 to 896 of the family's 1533-position model. The record is from RNAcentral.
GGGGGGAGCAAGCGUUGUUCGGAAUCACUGGGCGUAAAGGGCGUGUAGGCGGUCAAGUAAGUGGGAUGUGAAAUCCCUCGGCUCACCCGAGGACCUGCAUCCCAAACUGCUUGGCUUGAGUAUGGGAGAGGAUGAGGGAAUUCCUGGUGUAGCGGUGAAAUGCGUAGAUAUCAGGAGGAACACCGGUGGCGAAGGCGCUCAUCUGGCCCAAUACUGACGCUGAGGCGCGAAAGCUAGGGGAGCAAACGGGAUUAGAUACCCCGGUAGUCCUAGCCGUAAACGGUGAUCACUAGGUGUUGGAGGCAUCGACCCCUCCAGUGCCGCAGCUAACGCAUUAAGUGAUCCGCCUGGGGAGUACGGCCGCAAGGUUG